GAUGAACGCUGGCGGCGUGCCUAAUACAUGCAAGUCGAGCGAACGGACGAGAAGCUUGCUUUUCUGAUGUUAGCGGCGGACGGGUGAGUAACACGUGGAUAACCUACCUAUAAGACUGGGAUAACUUCGGGAAACCGGAGCUAAUACCGGAUAAUAUUUUGAACCGCAUGGUUCAAGAGUGAAAGACGGUCUUGCUGUCACUUAUAGAUGGAUCCGCGCUGCAUUAGCUAGUUGGUAAGGUAACGGCUUACCAAGGCAACGAUGCAUAGCCGACCUGAGAGGGUGAUCGGCCACACUGGAACUGAGACACGGUCCAGACUCCUACGGGAGGCAGCAGUAGGGAAUCUUGCGCAAUGGGCGAAAGCCUGACGGAGCAACGCCGCGUGAGGGAUGAAGGUCUUCGGAUCGUAAAACUCUGUUAUUAGGGAAGAACAGAUGUGUAAGUAACUGUGCACAUCUUGACGGUACCUAAUCAGAAAGCCACGGCUAACUACGUG
RNAcentral lists this ribosomal RNA (497 nucleotides) under uncultured bacterium. Its description in RNAcentral is "partial 16S ribosomal RNA". It matches the Rfam family "Bacterial small subunit ribosomal RNA", at positions 28 to 507 of the family's 1533-position model. The record is from RNAcentral.